GUAGGUGGCAAGCGUUGUCCGGAAUUAUUGGGCGUAAAGCGCGCGCAGGCGGUCCUCUAAGUCUGAUGUGAAAGCCCACGGGCUCAACCGUGGAGGGUCAUUGGAAACUGGGGGACUUGAGUACAGAAGAGGAAAGCGGAAUUCCAAGUGUAGCGGUGAAAUGCGUAGAGAUUUGGAGGAACACCAGUGGCGAAGGCGGCUUUCUGGUCUGUAACUGACGCUGAGGCGCGAAAGCGUGGGGAGCAAACAGGAUUAGAUACCCUGGUAGUCCACGCCGUAAACGAUGAGUGCUAAGUGUUAGGGGGUUUCCGCCCCUUAGUGCUGCAGCUAACGCAUUAAGCACUCCGCCUGGGGAGUACGGCCGCAAAGGCUG
RNAcentral lists this ribosomal RNA (373 nucleotides) under uncultured organism. RNAcentral's name for it is "partial 16S ribosomal RNA". It matches the Rfam family "Bacterial small subunit ribosomal RNA", at positions 527 to 896 of the family's 1533-position model. The record is from RNAcentral.